GGUCGGGUGGCGCAAUGGUAGCGCGUUACUUUCCGGUGAUGAGAAAGUCAAAUUUCCAAUACAACGCUCAGUUGGUAAAGGUUCUGGGUUCGAGUCCCAGCUCGAUCG
Molecule: non-coding RNA, 108 nt
Organism: Bombardia bombarda
Lineage: Eukaryota; Fungi; Ascomycota; Sordariomycetes; Sordariales; Lasiosphaeriaceae
Source: the annotation of a GenBank genome assembly